CCAAAACUUAAAAACUCACCCUUUUGCAGCAGCUUGAAGAUCCUCUGAGAUUUGAAUGGGAUUUAACAUAGGUUUCUCUCAUCGAAAGGGGGUAAAUCAAUGUAGAAAGGGUUUUUGAAUUGAAGAAGAUAGAUCGGAUGAGUUUUUGCAGAUCCAGACCCAUUUUACCCUUAGCUUUCACUCAAUCUUAGCCGUUUGCGCCAGUAAGAACACUUGUCGCCAGAUUAAAGAGAAAUUGCACCCAAUUGCAUCAUUUGGGAACUGGAGAGAUGUUCAGUUCAGCCUCUUCGCUUUCGGAGUCAGCUCAUGAAUUUGGGUUCAAACUGUCUUAAGUUCUUAUCGAACCUCCCCUGCUCCCACCCUCCAUCUCCUUCUCAGUCUCCCAUUCUCCCUCAUUCAUGAAACGAGCCCCCAUAGAGGCUGCGAAGAUAAUAAGCAAUGCUCUCAUAUCUGCUUCGAUUCGUUCGAGACCGACUCGUUCAUGGAGCCCUUUACUCGAGCAGACUCUCCACCAACUCGGUUGCCGUGACUCUCUCACUCCGUCACUCGUUGCCCGGGUCAUUGAUCCGUUCCUCCUCGACCACCAUUCACUUGCUAUCGGUUUCUUCAACUGGGUUUCUCAGCGGCCUGGAUUCUCACACACUGCAGUUACCUAUCAAUCUCUUCUUAAAUCCCUCUCAAUUUCACGCCAAUUCAACUCUGUUGAUAAACUCCUCAAACAGAUCAAAACCCAGAAGAUCAUUGUCGACCCAUCCGUCUAUCGAUCUGUAAUUGCUUCACAAAUCAUUGGUAAGAAAGCUCAGAGUGCCUUUUUAGUCUUCAAUGAAGUUAAAGAAUUAGUUCAUAAAAUAGGGUCUGAUACGUGUAAUUCGCUACUUGCUGCCCUUGCCUCCGAUGGGUGUAUUGAUUCUGCAAAAGAGGUGUUUGAUGAAAUGGGUUCUAGAAGUAUUCCUUUGAGUACUCUGGGAUUUGGUGUGUUUAUUGGGAGAUUUUGUAGAACUGCAGAAUUGGACGAGACCUUGGGUUUGUUAGAUGGGAUUAAGCAUGGCAUUUGGGAGAUGAAUGGAUCGAUUGUAGCACUUUUAAUAGUUGAUGGGCUUUGCAGAGUGUCUAGGAUAUCAGAGGCUUUCAAGGUAUUGGAGGAGCUCCGGAGCAGAGCGUGUAAACCUGAUUUUAUGGCAUACAGGAUAGUAGCUGAAGCAUUUCGUUCUGUAGGGGAACUAGAGAAAACUGAGGUGGUCUUGAAGAAGAAGAGAAAGCUAGGGGUGGCACCUAGGGAGAAAGAUUAUAGAGAAUUUAUCUUUGCUUUGAUUUCAGAAAGGCGGGUACAGGAAGUAAAAGAAUUGGGUGAAGUUAUUGUUAGUGGGAAUUUUCCAAUUGAGGAGGAUGUUCUCAAUGCUUUGAUAGGAUCAGUCUCUUCCAUUGAUCCCGAGUGUGCAAUCAUGUUCUUUAAGUCUAUGCUUGGGCAAGGAAGGUUACCAACUCUUCUUACUUUGAGCAAUUUGAGUAGAAAUCUAAGUAAAAGGGGCAUGAUUGAUGAGAUGUUGCAGGUUUUUCAGGUUCUUUCUUCAAAGGAUUACUUCUCAGAUUUGGAGAGUUACAAUUUGAUGGUUUCUUUCCUGUGUAAGGCAGGGAGAGUGAAGGAAGCCUAUGCUGUUCUUGGGGAAAUGAGGAGAAGAGGUUUUGGUCCAGAUGUCUCUGUUUUUAAUUCUCUAAUGGAAGCUUGCUGUAGAGAAGAUCUCUUGCGUCCUGCAAAGAGGCUGUGGGAUGAAAUGUUUGCCAGUGGGUGUCCUGGAAACCUGAGGACUUACAACAUUCUUAUUCAGAAGUUCUCAGAAACAGGUGAGGUUGAAGAAGCUCAGCACCUUUUUCACCACAUGUUGGGGAAAGGAGUGUCUCCUGAUGCCACAACAUACACAUCCGUCCUUGAAGGACUUUGUCGAGAAGCAAAGGCCGAAGCUGCUUGUGAGACCUUCAACAAGUGUGUUGACCAGGAUGCUUUGCUUGCACGAACAAUAUUAAGUCGAUUAGUGCUUUCUCUAUGCAAGGGAGGUCACUUUGUGGCAGCCUCAAGGGUAGUCCGUCGUAUCGGUCCUCAUCCAGAAAUUUCCAACUCUCAUGUAAUUUUACUGAGGUGUUUAGUGGAUGCUGGAGAGUUCAAGAUCGCGAUAGAACAUGUAAAAUGGGUCAGGGACACUUCACCCUCAAUAUUAAGAGCAGUAUUUUCUGAACUUCAAGCAUCUCUUACUUCUUCUUUAAAUCCAGAGCCGAUCCUACAACUGCUUUCUAAAAUAAAGGAACCUCUAGUUUCUAAUAAUGAUACUUGGGUGGAUGUUAUGCAAGGGAGAAUUUAAAGGAUCCUAGAAAUAAAGUGUGAUUGCCCAUUAUUCAGUGGAUGAGUAUCAAAUAUAGAUGUGGAUCCCUUCUAAUAUGAGAAAAGGGCUAAACUGCAUUUAUCUUGUUUAUUUUUAUGGAUGAACGAUGUAAUUUUUAUUAAUUGAGGGAAAGAAAGGAGCAGAAAACCCAAUCUGGAAGGGAUUGAGCAUCAGCAGAGAGAAGGAGAGAUAAUAGCAGGUGGAGUCAGCAGCCAGAUCACAUGUGAUUGUCCUUCUAACUGGUAUGAAGGAUAACUUUGUUAAGUGAACCUGCGAUGGACUUGAUAUUCCAGACUACAAUCUCAAAUUUCCAAGACCUUGUUCCUGGUUGUUCAGAUGUGAGAUUUAAUGUUGCAGAAUCACUUUCAAUGUCAAAGACUCAACCUCAAACAUCUAUGACUUUUGCUUGGAGAACAUAGUGGACGGGGGCUACAAUUGAUGCUCUUGCAAAGUCACGAAUGCAGCUCUGAUACCAUUUUUUUAUAGCAACAUCACUUUCUACUUAACCAACUGGGGCUGAGUUCAUUACCAAUGGAUGAAAUCCUAGGUUUGAAAUUUGAUGAUGGGUUAUCAAGAUUCUCCCUUGCUGCUAACAGCUCAAUGUGAAUGGCAUUGCAUCUACCUAUUGUUAUUUCAAACGUAAUAGUAUGAAGACUGCAAAGGUGCAAGGGAUAUCCGUGACUAGCAAGGACGUUAAGACUGAGAAGCUUCAUGAACACUUCAAUAGUGGCAGUGAACAUCUCAUCUCAUUGCCUUUAGAAGCAGUGGCAGCCUGAGGAAUGGAAAUGCAUACGCUUGUGGCUGAGGUUGACAAUGUGGCAACGUCAAGCAUCAGCAAUGAUAGCAGCUCAAGGGAAUUUGGUCCCUUUGGAAGAUGAAAGGGUAAACUAGGAGUUAAUUGAAGCUUAAGGAAGUUGGUGUAUGUUGCACUUGAUGAUACUGGUCGUUGGGGCAUUUUUUUUCUUGGUUGCAUGGGGGCUCUUUGAUUUUGUAGAGGUCUGGGAUUUUGGUGGGCAAGAGAAGUUAAAGGACGUCAUGGGCAACAUACUAUCGUGGGACUCGUGCUAUCGUUGCGGUGAUAGACAGCACCAAUCAUGCAAGGAUCAGUAUUUUGAAGGAUGAACUCUUUCGAUUGUUCCAACAUGAGGAUCUUGAACAUUCAGUCAUUCUUGUCUUUGCAAACAAGCAAGACCUCAAGGAUGCGAUGUCCCCAGCUGACAUCACUGAUGCCCUUUCACUUCACAGUAUCAACAAUCAUGAUUGGCACAUCCAAGCUUCUUGUGCCCUCACAGGAGAAGGGUUAUAUGAUGCUUUGGAGUGAAUAGCACAACAUGUGACUGAUAAGGGCGAGAAAUAGCACAUGCCCCUAUUCCUAUCGUGGGUGCUGAGGAAGGAGAACAACUUGUUUUGUGUACAAUUCAUAUGAGCUUUCCAUAAGCAGAUUAAUAGAAUGUAUUUUCACUUUGAUUGACUUUGAAGCAAGUAAAGAUUUUCAUUUCUUACCCAA
Macadamia integrifolia is the source of this 3882-nucleotide RNA transcript. It is a transcript of the gene named pentatricopeptide repeat-containing protein At5g14080, with no coding region annotated. The transcript is spliced from 3 exons. Lineage: Eukaryota; Viridiplantae; Streptophyta; Magnoliopsida; Proteales; Proteaceae. The record is from RefSeq and is a predicted model, not a curated record.